CAGUAGCCGCGGGAAUACGUAGGUGGCAAGCGUUGUCCGGAAUUAUUGGGCGUAAAGGGCUCGCAGGCGGUUUCUUAAGUCUGAUGUGAAAGCCCCCGGCUCAACCGGGGAGGGUCAUUGGAAACUGGGAAACUUGAGUGCAGAAGAGGAGAGUGGAAUUCCACGUGUAGCGGUGAAAUGCGUAGAGAUGUGGAGGAACACCAGUGGCGAAGGCGACUCUCUGGUCGGUAACUGACGCUGAGGAGCGAAAGCGUGCGGAGCGAACAGGAUUAGAUACCCCAGUAGUCCCUGUCUCUUAUAC
RNAcentral lists this ribosomal RNA (301 nucleotides) under uncultured bacterium. RNAcentral's name for it is "partial 16S ribosomal RNA". It matches the Rfam family "Bacterial small subunit ribosomal RNA", at positions 509 to 807 of the family's 1533-position model. The record is from RNAcentral.